Molecule: long non-coding RNA, 1712 nt
Organism: Monodelphis domestica (gray short-tailed opossum)
Lineage: Eukaryota; Metazoa; Chordata; Mammalia; Didelphimorphia; Didelphidae
Source: Ensembl
CCAGAGGGCGCUGCAUUUCCUGACUGCUGUGGUGAUCAACGCGCAGCUUCCACUCCGCCAUUCACAUAGGAGGAAGAGCCUGGAGGAGAUGGCUGCCCUGAUAGAGAGCUCUCAAGUGAAUGUGGCGGAGGCCAUAGUGGGAGUUCAGGCCACGGGGAAAGGGAAUGCAGAGGUAGUAGUGGAACCCACGGCAAAUGCCGGGAUAGGGUCAGUGGCAGCGGCAGUCACCACUUCUUUCACUGAAGCCGGGGCUAUAGCAAAAGAAGGGGAGGCUUGUGGGGCGGUUCAAACCGUUCCGAAGAUUCUUUUGGCCUGGGUGGAACCCUCAGUUCAAAAAUUGGAAAUGGAGAAACUUGAGAGGCCCAAGGCAGGCCUUUCCAUGAAGCUGGGCAGAGGCGGUGACCCACAGAUCGACAUGUCUCUGGAUGACAUCAUAAAGCUCCAACGCAGGGCACAGGCCCGUAACCAGGCCUAUUAUGAUGGAAGAAGAGACUAUGAUGGAUACAGAUACUAUUACCAAAGAGGAUUUUAUGAAGGACCCCAGCGGAUAAGGAGGUGGUCUGGACGCCAGAAUAAUUACAGAAGAACCAUUCAGAAUUUAUCCAAGCCAAGGACAUAUUCUUCAGGCAACAGGUCAUUCAGCAGAAACAAUGCAGCUUAUGAGGAGGAUGAAGAUGACGAAUCAACAACUAGGCAGUUCCAGAACCAAAAUAACCACUUUGAGAGACGUGGAAGACGACCAACACGUGGACAAGAGAGAAAUCCAUUUUCGAGUGAUGCGAGAAGGCCUUCGGAGGCCUCUGGCACAAUUGCCAGUGGUGAAACAUCACCUGAAAGAGGGAAGAGGCAGGGGCAGCAGAGGGAUGAUGAAGUGACCCAGGUAUCCCCAUCAAAAUCCCACUCAUCUGAGCGGAAAUCGACAAACAAAAGCAGCUUUCCUGGUAGGUACCAAGUCCAACUCAAACCUGGAGCCAUCCUCACAAUUUGUAUUGAAAAUUCUCAAGUGGAUCAAGAUGAUCAAUCGGACAGAAGCAGCGAUGAGGAAAUUUCAGAUGUCAAAGAAAAGCCUACCUUACCCAAGACUGAGAAAUUCGAGCCCAAAGGGAUCGCCUUGAAAUACAAUUUCCGGGCUCUCGGCAAUCAGACUAAAAUAACACUCCAUGAGAGAUUCUCCAUCCUGCAGCGGAUGAGGGGGAGCGUCACCGUUCCCAGAUCUAGGAACAGAACCGUCACCCUGCCCUAGGUGUUCACCAUCACGGCAGGACAGAGCCAGUCGUCUUUCAAUGCAUUUUUCACGACUGGUGUCUCUUCUAAUUGUUUGUUAAUAGAAAGUUUCAGUUCUCACCUAAAAUUGUUAAGCCGUAAUCUCAGUUAUUCAUUCAAAUCAGUUUUGUAGGAAGACCCAGUAUACCCAGAGGGGACAGUCCCUGUGGGCUCUACAUUCAGGCUCCUUUCCCAGAAAAGGGACCAGGUGAGGGAGAAGGGGUGGAGCGUCUGGAUGGUUUCUAGUUGUUACUUCAGCCUUAUAGCAUCAGAGGGCUCUUUCGGGCCAAGUUUACUGAGGAGCUCAGCUCCCAUUCUGCUCCAGCAUUAGUGUAGACUAGUCCCAUGGGCCUGGCCCAACCUCAGCGGGGCUUUGUAAAACAUCCGAGCAUUGGCUGGUAUGUUGUACACGCACUAAAUAAAGACUUUGAAAACAAGGCCUCGACUCA